GAUGAACGCUGGCGGCGUGCCUAAUACAUGCAAGUCGAGCGAACAGACGAGGAGCUUGCUCCUCUGACGUUAGCGGCGGACGGGUGAGUAACACGUGGAUAACCUACCUAUAAGACUGGGAUAACUUCGGGAAACCGGAGCUAAUACCGGAUAAUAUAUUGAACCGCAUGGUUCAAUAGUGAAAGACGGUUUUGCUGUCACUUAUAGAUGGAUCCGCGCCGCAUUAGCUAGUUGGUAAGGUAACGGCUUACCAAGGCAACGAUGCGUAGCCGACCUGAGAGGGUGGACGGCCACACUGGAACUGAGACACGGCCCAGACUCCUACGGGAGGCAGCAGUAGGGAAUCUUCCGCAAUGGGCGAAAGCCUGACGGAGCAACGCCGCGUGAGUGAUGAAGGUCUUCGGAUCGUAAAACUCUGUUAUUAGGGAAGAACAAAUGUGUAAGUAACUAUGCACGUCUUGACGGUACCUGAUCAGAAAGCCACGGCUAACUACGUG
This 497-nucleotide ribosomal RNA is filed under the name uncultured bacterium. Its description in RNAcentral is "partial 16S ribosomal RNA". It matches the Rfam family "Bacterial small subunit ribosomal RNA", at positions 28 to 507 of the family's 1533-position model. The record is from RNAcentral.